AACGAACACUGGCGGCAUGCCUAACACAUGCAAGUCGAACGGGAUCCUAGCUUGCUAGGUGAGAGUGGCGGACGGGUGAGUAACACGUGGGAAUCUGCCUUUUGGUUCGGGAUAACCGCGGGAAACUGCGGCUAAUACCGAAUGCCCUCGAGAGAGGAAAGAUUUAUCGCCAGAAGAGGAGCCCGCGUCCGAUUAGGUAGUUGGUGGGGUAAAGGCCUACCAAGCCGACGAUCGGUAGCUGGUCUGAGAGGAUGAUCAGCCACACUGGGACUGAGAUACGGCCCAGACUCCUACGGGAGGCAGCAGUGGGGAAUAUUGGACAAUGGGGGCAACCCUGAUCCAGCAAUGCCGCGUGAGUGAUGAAGGCCUUAGGGUUGUAAAGCUCUUUUGCCAGGGAAGAUGAUGACUGUACCUGGAGAAUAAGCCCCGGCUAACUUCGUGCCAGCAGCCGCGGU
RNAcentral lists this ribosomal RNA (455 nucleotides) under uncultured bacterium. RNAcentral's name for it is "bacterial SSU rRNA". It matches the Rfam family "Bacterial small subunit ribosomal RNA", at positions 29 to 521 of the family's 1533-position model. The record is from RNAcentral.